RNAcentral lists this unclassified non-coding RNA (153 nucleotides) under uncultured Helotiales. RNAcentral's name for it is "sequence contains ITS2". Lineage: Eukaryota; Fungi; Ascomycota; Leotiomycetes; Helotiales. The record is from RNAcentral.
CAACCCUCAAGCUCUGCUUGGUGUUGGGCCCUGCCGUGCCAGCUGGCUGGCAGGCCCUAAAGUCAGUGGCGGUGCCCGCUGGGGCUCUAAGCGUAGUACACUUCUCGCUCUGGAGGCCUGGUGGUGCUUGCCAAACAACACCCAUCUUUCACU